AAAUAAGAAACAAAAAAUUGUAUUUAGUUUCGACCUAAAAUUUUGGUGUUAUACCCUUAUUUA
Molecule: transfer RNA, 63 nt
Filed under: Atrecus affinis
Lineage: Eukaryota; Metazoa; Arthropoda; Insecta; Coleoptera; Staphylinidae
Description: tRNA-Arg
Source: RNAcentral